ACACAUAUAUAAAUAUAUGGGUGUGAAAUUUCUCUCUAAGUUUAUUCAUCACAAAAGUCGUCGGGUUAUGCUCUUCGGCGUUGGUGAGAUAUUUUCAGCAACAGGUAAUUACAACCCAGAUCUACGUCGCCUAUAUUUUUUCGUUUCCAUUUUUGCCUCCGCCCAUCCAAUUCUUGCCCACGAUAUAGCGCCUUUACCAUCUUCGAGCUGCAAAUUUAUGUGAUGCCGAUGCCUUUCUUCUACAGUGACCAAGAAGUAGGUCUUUUGCUUUAAGAUUUACUACGUACAGUACUUCUAGAUCCAGACAUUCUAGCAGCCUUCAGGGAUAACCCCAAUGGCCAAUUUCGACAUCUACUACAGUUUUCUAACCAUGUUUUGUUAAUCCUUUCUUUCUUGAGUUUCGUUUAUAUUUUCCAAUGCCUUUCAUGUCCAUAUUUUUUAUUGUAUAUCACUUUUCAUUCAUAUUUCAUGCUUUAAUCUAUCUUUUUUCCAUCUUAAAAUCAUGAAAUCUACCAUGGUGGCGUUGUACUUCUCGUUAUUGAUUUACCUGUGCUGAUAUUUUACAUCUAUAUUCUUUUUGGCUUUGUUUGUUGUUCGUGUUACUAUUACUUUCUUUAGUCAUACUUGGUUCUUGAAUAUUCUUUGCUACUAGUGAUUAAAUUCUUGUUUCUAGCUUUUUGCUUUUCGGGUUUUGUACUUUAAUGUUAGGGUUAUUUCUUGUUUUUAGUCAUAGCCUAGUUUGACUUGCAUUAGUAUUUUUGUAGCUUUGAACUGAAUUUUUUGGUUCAAAAUGAUAGUCUAAGGUCAUUUUUAGGUCAAGGUCGAGAGCGAUGGGUGGGAGUGAGAGGAAGAUUAAAGAUUUCAUUAAGUUGUGAGUCGGGUCAUAGAAUAUAGGGUCUUGAAGUAAAUAUUUUUAAAAAGUAGAAGAUAAAUUUAUUGUGUGUCCACAAGACCGAAUUGUUAAGUUCCAAGCCUUGAGAUGUAUAUGGGUUUAAUUUAUGGUGCUCAGGAAGUUCAAAGAAUAGGAACGGGGUAGAAAGUCCUUAGGGAGCUUUGGUUGGAGGUUCAAAGGAUUAAUCACUGGAUGAUGAAGAUUAAGAAAGUUAAUUGAGGAGAUACUUUUAAUAUUAUUAGUUUAUAUGCUUCACAACUAUUCUUGGACAAGGAGGUCCAGAAGAUAUGUUGGGAAAGUUUGAAUGAGGUGGUGCGAGAAAUACCAAACACCGAGAAGAUUUUCUUUAGUAAGGAUUCAAAUUGCCAAAUUGGAGAAAAUUUUAGAGUAUUUGAUGGGGUUCAUGGAGUUAUUAUUUUAGUUGAUAGAAAUAGUGAUGAAACCUUUCUCCUGGACCAUUCUAAAGCCUUUGAGAUGGUGAUAGCUAAUUUGUGAUUUCAAAGAAGGAAAACAAAUUGGUUAUCUUCCGUAGCAAGUUGGCUAAAAUGCAGAUAGACUACCUAUCAUUGUUAAAGGGUGAAAGAAUCCUUUGUAAGGAUUAUUUUAAUGACUCUCUUGGUAAUUUCCUCAAUUUGUGUGUAUUUUCAGCGUUUCUAGACAUCCCACGGUGGCUACAUUUCAUUAUUACUUGCCGGAACUAUCGAUUUAGUUAUAGUACAGUUUGUUUUUAUUUUAGUCUCAUUUCUCUAUUUUGUAGCUUUCAGUAUUUCAGAUUUGAUGUCGGACCAAAACACGUAGUAUAUGACCUUGGAAGAGAAUACAAACAAUGACAUUAGCUUCAAAAAAUAAAUUUUAGGCUGGGGACCCUCGGUUCAGGUCCUGAGGCUUUCAGACUCGUUUUAGGGAAUUGAGUGAAUUAUAUGAAAAAUGGCACUAUAGAUAUGGGUCACAAAUUUAGUAAAAACUAUUUUCGAUUAAUGUUUUGAUUCUUCCGUUGUAUCUAUAAUGUGUUUUAAAUUCAAAUUUUGCUACUGUUUCAUGUUCAUAGGUUUUUGGAUGAGGUCCGAUGGCCAAAAACAAGUUCUUAACUUUGUUGGUGCCGGUUUGUUUGCGAAAACAACCAUUUGCCCAUUUGAAUAAGUCACUUGACCAACCAUUUGGCCAAUUAAGUGACAUUUGACCAUUUGACCAGAUCGCUUAAGUGACCAGCAUAUUUUUGACAUUUUGGGAGCUAGGAAGCUCAAUUUUUUACGAUUUAUGAUUUAUUUUUCACGUAAAAUCAUUGUCUAGCAAUUAUAGAAUUCUAUUUUCCCCAUUUCCCAAGAACAUCAAUUUAUAAUUUUUCAUUUUCACCCAAAUUGAGAAUCAAAAUUGAUUUUUCACUAAUUUUGGGUCUUGGGAGCUCGUAUUUGUGGGAUUACAAAAGCAUAUUUGAGAUUUCAUCCAUGAGGAAGUUUCUUAAUCUUAUAACUAUCAUUUUUACCUUGAUUUGAUUUUCAAAGUGGGUUUUGGAGGUUUUCAUCAAUAAGAUAGAAAAUGGUUUUUCCUUAAUUUGGAUCUUAUUUUUAUUUCAUUUUGGCUUAGGUUUUAAGUUAUAGACUCCUAUGAGUAUGGGAAACAUAUUUCUUUAAAAUAAAAAAGAUUUUAACCUUUUUAUUUUUAAAUCCAUUUUUAGUGUUUGUUUUUAGAUUUGUGUUGGACAUAGAUAUACAGGUAUUAUUUUCUCCUAAUGAUGCGUAGAUAACUGUAUUGAGAGUGUGAUGAUAUUUUGAGGUCAUGGAGAAAAGAAGGACAAUUUAUAGGUAAUUCAAGGAUUGAGGUUCGACAUCGAUUAAAAGUAGAGAAGAAGGAGAACCACAAAUAAAUGAAGCAAAAAGUAUAAAAUUGGAAGAAAAUAAAGAGCUAAGUGUGGCUGACGACAUACAUGACACAUCGUCUGCCUGGUGAUAGGCUGUCAAGGAUGCCGUCAAACUUAAACACAAAAGGUGAGUUGCAGGAAGUUUUAUGGCGACCUUCAUGACACAUCGUCAAGAUCCUGAUAGGUUGUCAUUGUCGUCAUCAACCUCAGGCAGCAGGAGCUGAAUUUUGCAGAGAAGCUGACGGCGUCCGUGAAAAAUCAUCAAAAUCAUGAUAGGCCAUCACAACUGCUGUCAUCUAUACCAAAGAAUAUCUAAAACUAUAAUUUUAUUUCCUUAUUUAGUGUUAACUAUUUAAAUCCUUAUUUUAGGGGUUUUCUAUUAUCCAUCAAUUAAUUGAUAUAUCCUACAACAUACGACUUUUUCUUCUCUUUCUCUCUCGAAGACAAAUAUUUUUGUGGUUGUCCUUGUGACUCAAUUGAAAGAACACUUUUGAUUUA
Molecule: long non-coding RNA, 3248 nt
Organism: Capsicum annuum
Lineage: Eukaryota; Viridiplantae; Streptophyta; Magnoliopsida; Solanales; Solanaceae
Exons: 2
Source: RefSeq, a predicted model, not a curated record